AUUGAACGCUGGCGGCAGGCCUAACACAUGCAAGUCGAACGGUAACAGGAAACAGCUUGCUGUUUCGCUGACGAGUGGCGGACGGGUGAGUAAUGUCUGGGAAACUGCCUGAUGGAGGGGGAUAACUACUGGAAACGGUAGCUAAUACCGCAUAACGUCGCAAGACCAAAGAGGGGGACCCUCGGGCCUCUUGCCAUCGGAUGUGCCCAGAUGGGAUUAGCUUGUUGGUGGGGUAACGGCUCACCAAGGCGACGAUCCCUAGCUGGUCUGAGGGGAUGACCAGCCACACUGGAACUGAGACACGGUCCAGACUCCUACGGGAGGCAGCAGUGGGGAAUAUUGCACAAUGGGCGCAAGCCUGAUGCAGCCAUGCCGCGUGUAUGAAGAAGGCCUUCGGGUUGUAAAGUACUUUCAGCGGGGAGGAAGGGAGUAAAGUUAAUACCUUUGCUCAUUGACGUUACCCGCAGAAGAAGCACCGGCUAACUCCGUG
Molecule: ribosomal RNA, 490 nt
Filed under: uncultured bacterium
Lineage: Bacteria
Description: partial 16S ribosomal RNA
Rfam family: Bacterial small subunit ribosomal RNA
Source: RNAcentral